AGAGUUUGAUCCUGGCUCAGAUUGAACGCUGGCGGCAGGCUUAACACAUGCAAGUCGAGCGGUAGCACAAGAGAGCUUGCUCUCUGGGUGACGAGCGGCGGACGGGUGAGUAAUGUCUGGGAAACUGCCUGAUGGAGGGGGAUAACUACUGGAAACGGUAGCUAAUACCGCAUAACGUCGCAAGACCAAAGAGGGGGACCUUCGGGCCUCUUGCCAUCAGAUGUGCCCAGAUGGGAUUAGCUAGUAGGUGGGGUAAUGGCUCACCUAGGCGACGAUCCCUAGCUGGUCUGAGAGGAUGACCAGCCACACUGGAACUGAGACACGGUCCAGACUCCUACGGGAGGCAGCAGUGGGGAAUAUUGCACAAUGGGCGCAAGCCUGAUGCAGCCAUGCCGCGUGUGUGAAGAAGGCCUUCGGGUUGUAAAGCACUUUCAGCGAGGAGGAAGGUGGUGAGCUUAAUACGCUCAUCAAUUGACGUUACUCGCA
Molecule: ribosomal RNA, 486 nt
Filed under: uncultured Serratia sp.
Lineage: Bacteria; Pseudomonadati; Pseudomonadota; Gammaproteobacteria; Enterobacterales; Yersiniaceae
Description: bacterial SSU rRNA
Rfam family: Bacterial small subunit ribosomal RNA
Source: RNAcentral